Long non-coding RNA from Drosophila pseudoobscura, 1331 nucleotides. RefSeq lists it as uncharacterized. NCBI's taxonomy places the organism in Eukaryota, Metazoa, Arthropoda, Insecta, Diptera, Drosophilidae. The record is from RefSeq and is a predicted model, not a curated record. The transcript has 2 exons.
UUAUUUGAGGAAACUGUGGGCAGUUUUCUAGCACACGUUAAGAAAUAUUUGCCUUAAUGCAAUCGUAUGAUGUAAAGGUAUAAAGUUAAUCAUUCAAGGUGGCUUUCGCAGUCGGUAGACCAACACUAAAAUAUAGCCAGGCUGGAAUGCGUUUAAAACAUAAAUUUGCAAGUGAUCUUGUAUCCGACACAUAUAUUUCAAAGCAGCAAUUAAUUCAUGCUGCUUCCGUUUCUGCGAAAAAGGUUAAAAGGAUGAUUUGUUUAACGAGUUAAAUGUCAUCAGGGAAGAACAGACAGCGAUCACGACAGGAGGCCAACCAUUUUCGGUGAUUAUACCCCUUACCCCUGAAGAAGCAUUGGCGUCUUUGUUUCAAAAUUGACUUACCAAACAGCAUAUCAAUAAAGCUCGUGGCUGCAACAUUUUCCCCCCAUAUUCAGCACUUCAAGUAGUCAACACGAUUUGCAGACCAACUCAAAUAGAAUUCUGUGAAAAUUUUCUCAGGUUUCGAUGCAAAAAAAUAAAGUCGAAAAAAUAUUGGUCCUGCAAAAAGAGUUUAUAUCUGAAAUGAGAAAUAGUAAGCUACGGAUUCGAUGGACCUACUGUUCAAAGCUUAUAUAAGCAGAAGUUUCGAUCAGAGGAACCUGCUUCCUGUAGGAAAGGCAGUAACGAGAGUACCAUCAACACAGAGAGAAUCGAAUAGAAACGAGGAUCGAGUAAUCGGUGGUAGUAGAGUUUGAGCUAUGAGAGAGAGAGAGUGUGUUCUCGGUGCGCGGCACUUAAAAAUUGUCAGAGCUGGAGUUCCACUAGGCAGCAUUCUUGGGCCAUUUCUGUGCACUAUAUUCACAUGCGACAUGCCGUUACCACACGUCAACCCAGGUAACUUGCUGGUCGCCACUUACGUUGAUGAUACUGCCAUUCUCCCAACAUCCACCUGCUACGGAGCCGUUGCUGAACAACUCCAAAUUUACCUCGAAUCCGUGGAAAAAUGGUCAACAAAAUGGAACAUCACACUUCUCCACUUCGUUAAAAGCCUGAUAUGGGGAUAUCAGAACUACAGUCAUCAAAUGCCAAAAAAAAACUUAAAAAGUUGCACUGGCUCAUCAACUCAAAAAGUAAGCUUCUCCUACGCAGUAAAGUCUUGUUGUACAAGGCAAUGAUAAUCCCUAUAUUGACAUACGCCUGGAGACGUUCAGCGAAGACGCAUCUCAAUAAAAUCAGAGUCAUGCAAGCGAGGGCUCUAAGGGCGAUGACAGGUGCCCCGUGGUUUCCACAAUGCUGGAAAGAGAUCUCCUCAUCCAAAAAGUUGGCGAUCAAAUUAACCAUCAUAGCAG